RNAcentral lists this ribosomal RNA (550 nucleotides) under uncultured bacterium. RNAcentral's name for it is "bacterial SSU rRNA". It matches the Rfam family "Bacterial small subunit ribosomal RNA", at positions 355 to 896 of the family's 1533-position model. The record is from RNAcentral.
UAGGGAAUCUUCGGCAAUGGGGGCAACCCUGACCGAGCAACGCCGCGUGAGUGAAGAAGGUUUUCGGAUCGUAAAGCUCUGUUGUAAGUCAAGAACGAGUGUGAGAGUGGAAAGUUCACACUGUGACGGUAGCUUACCAGAAAGGGACGGCUAACUACGUGCCAGCAGCCGCGGUAAUACGUAGGUCCCGAGCGUUGUCCGGAUUUAUUGGGCGUAAAGCGAGCGCAGGCGGUUUGAUAAGUCUGAAGUUAAAGGCUGUGGCUCAACCAUAGUUCGCUUUGGAAACUGUCAAACUUGAGUGCAGAAGGGGAGAGUGGAAUUCCAUGUGUAGCGGUGAAAUGCGUAGAUAUAUGGAGGAACACCGGUGGCGAAAGCGGCUCUCUGGUCUGUAACUGACGCUGAGGCUCGAAAGCGUGGGGAGCGAACAGGAUUAGAUACCCUGGUAGUCCACGCCGUAAACGAUGAGUGCUAGGUGUUGGAUCCUUUCCGGGAUUCAGUGCCGCAGCUAACGCAUUAAGCACUCCGCCUGGGGAGUACNACCGCAAGGUUG